RNAcentral lists this ribosomal RNA (253 nucleotides) under uncultured bacterium. RNAcentral describes it as "partial 16S ribosomal RNA". It matches the Rfam family "Bacterial small subunit ribosomal RNA", at positions 524 to 776 of the family's 1533-position model. The record is from RNAcentral.
UACGUAGGUGGCAAGCGUUGUCCGGAAUUACUGGGCGUAAAGGGAGCGUAGGCGGACUUUUAAGUGAGAUGUGAAAUACCCGGGCUCAACCUGGGAGCUGCAUUUCAAACUGGAAGUCUAGAGUGCAGGAGAGGAGAAUGGAAUUCCUAGUGUAGCGGUGAAAUGCGUAGAGAUUAGGAAGAACACCAGUGGCGAAGGCGAUUCUCUGGACUGUAACUGACGCUGAGGAUCGAAAGCGUGGGGAGCAAACAGG